UAGGAACAAAUUCUUUAGACAAAAACGGUUAAUUAAGAAGUAAAGUAGAAUCAAAUUGAAUACUUCUAUAAUACAUGGUGAACGUAGAAAGGCACGAAGAGGGUGUCAUCCUUCAGCCUCAGUUUGCAGUUGCUUCUGCUGCUGAAUCCUCCGAGGAUAAUCUCACUACCACUUGCUGAUAUAGAAUUCACCUGUAUCGCACGCUGAAGAAGAGACCUAUACUCUUGACUUCUAGACCAUUCAUCAAUCUCGCAUGCACGUAAAACAGGGAGUGGAUGUGAAAGUUGCCUUGUUUGUGCAUUUCUAAAGAGAAAGCAUGUUGAAGUUAAAAGAGUUGAAGAAGACAAGAAAUAACAAAUCUUCAAGUCACACUAUCUGAAGAUGUAAUGCAGCUAUAUUCUAUUCCUAUUUGCAUAUACAUUAAACUUAAUUUAUGUCAGUAAUGGGAUGCACGUAUCC
Long non-coding RNA from Capsicum annuum, 459 nucleotides. RefSeq lists it as uncharacterized. The transcript has 2 exons. The record is from RefSeq and is a predicted model, not a curated record. NCBI's taxonomy places the organism in Eukaryota, Viridiplantae, Streptophyta, Magnoliopsida, Solanales, Solanaceae.